AGCAGUCGCCGCGGUAAUACGGAGGGUGCAAGCGUUAAUCGGAAUUACUGGGCGUAAAGCGCACGCAGGCGGUUUGUUAAGUCUGCUGUGAAAUCCCCGGGCUCAACCUGGGAAUGGCAGUGGAUACUGGCAAGCUAGAGUGUGUCAGAGGAUGGUGGAAUUCCCGGUGUAGCGGUGAAAUGCGUAGAGAUCGGGAGGAACAUCAGUGGCGAAGGCGGCCAUCUGGGACAACACUGACGCUGAGGCACGAAAGCGUGGGGAGCAAACAGGAUUAGAUACCCCGGUAGUCCCUGUCUCUUAUAA
This 303-nucleotide ribosomal RNA is filed under the name uncultured bacterium. RNAcentral's name for it is "partial 16S ribosomal RNA". It matches the Rfam family "Bacterial small subunit ribosomal RNA", at positions 507 to 809 of the family's 1533-position model. The record is from RNAcentral.